Molecule: non-coding RNA, 54 nt
Organism: Salmo salar (Atlantic salmon)
Lineage: Eukaryota; Metazoa; Chordata; Actinopteri; Salmoniformes; Salmonidae
Source: Rfam
UCCACUCACUACUGUAAGUUGCUCUGGAUAAGAGCGUUUGCUAAAUGAUUAAAA